CUGCUACCACCAUUUACAGUGAUCUGCUACAAAAAAGCCAAUCUUUUCUUUUCUUCAUUCAGAAAUUGGGGUGGAAUAAUUACAAGGUGGAGACAAACCAGAAACUUCUGAACUUUAGUCUUGCAAAGAGCUACUCUGUGGAUUGAAUAAACGUGGGUGAUCGACCAGACCCAAGCAAGCUACAAUUUGCACAUCUAUAGUUUCCCCCACUGAAGAUGAGCUUCCCUGAAGAAUGGAGGAUUUGCCGGUAGAAAAAGACCUGACCUUUGUUCCAGCAUUUAGAAGAAUGAUGAAGCUUCCAGACCCGAUGGUAUGGCUAAUGCGACAUACAGGUAGGGAGGGGUUUAUCUACGUAGCUGCGAAGAGGAGGUUUUCCUCAGCAUACAGCAUACUGAU
This is a long non-coding RNA of Ornithorhynchus anatinus (platypus), 396 nucleotides long. RefSeq lists it as uncharacterized. Lineage: Eukaryota; Metazoa; Chordata; Mammalia; Monotremata; Ornithorhynchidae. The record is from RefSeq and is a predicted model, not a curated record. The transcript has 3 exons.